Non-coding RNA from Microcebus murinus (gray mouse lemur), 2146 nucleotides. The record is from RefSeq and is a predicted model, not a curated record. NCBI's taxonomy places the organism in Eukaryota, Metazoa, Chordata, Mammalia, Primates, Cheirogaleidae.
ACAAUGACAAGGAAACAAAACAAAACAAAAACUAAGAGGGUUCUGUGAAUCAAUAGGGACAAAAUAUACAAAUGAAAAAGUCUUAGUAGUUCAUCCAACUGAGGCUGAGUGUGGAGGUUGGUUUCAUCUAUUACACAUAUGCUUUGAGAAAGUGAGAGACUGUAGAGAAACCUUUUGAAAGAAGAGGUGAUGGAUCUUAGAAAAGAAAAAUGAGUAGUGUAAAGAGUUGUAAAUUUAAACCUCUGGAGAGUAGGAGAGUUGAGAAGUCUGCAUGUACCAUCAUCUGGAAGGCAAGUGAUUGGAGAUGCUGUCUGACAUCAGAAAGCCUUGAAUGAGGCUGGGCAGAGAAACUUAAAUUUAGUGCAUGUUGAAGCAACAGUUUAUGGGAUAAACUGCAAGAUGCAAGAGCCCUUUUUCUAGGAACAAGAUUUACUUUCUCACAGUCCUUUGUAUCAAUUCAAUUUCUUGCUCAAAGUGCUAUAAAAUAUUGUAUAUGAGCACAGAUUGGUGUGUAUGAAGCAAAGAAAUUUCACAGCUGAAGUGGUGGCCCAAGAAAAAUGUACAGAGGCUUAAUGAUGAAUGAGAUUCUUUCAUACACCUGAGUAUUUAUUGAGCACAUACUACAUGUCCAGCAUCUGUUAGUCUUACUUUGGAGAUGAAGAGGGAUGCAAGUAUUAUUUUGAAGAAAGAAGUAGCAGAAGUUGAUGACAUUUGCUGUGUGUUUGAGUAGAAGCAGGGGAGAGGUGCACCACGAAGGAUCUCAAUACAUGCCUAUGGUUACUGACGAUGAAGAAGAGGAGGAGGAGGAAGAAGAAGAGAAGGAGAAGGAAGAGACUUGAUAAGUUAACAUGACCUUGUCUUUUAUGCUAUCGAAUUUCACACAACAGUUCAUCUAAGAACAAGUUGGGUAAACAAGUUGUCAGUUGGGUAAAGAAAGCUGCUCUAAACUUUAGUUCUAUUGCCAGCCACAUAGCAGUGGGAAUGUUACUUAAUUUCCCUGUGCCUAUAUUUUCUCCCCAGUUAAAUUCAGAUAAUAAUUCAAUUCACAUGGCUGCAAUGAUGAUGAAGAUGAUGAAAAUAAUAAACAAUUUAUUGAUCACAUACUGUGUCCUAGACACAAGGUACUUAUAAUACAUUAAAUCAUUUACUUCUUUACACAAAUCUUAAGAGGUAGGUACUAUUGUUGUCACCAUCAUCAUUAUGGUGUUAUUUGCAUUUUGACAGAUGAGGAAACAGAGGUAAAGGGAUUUCUGUAACUUGCUCGAAGUCACACAGCUAUUUAAUGUUGGCAUCAGGAUAAACCCGGGAGAGCUCUUCACUAUAAGGGUGCUACUUGCAUAAGUGCUGAGCAAUGGGCCCUACCCAGCAUAGGUAAUAAAUAACAGCACAGGUAAUAAGUAAUAACUAAACAACUGUUGCACUGGGGCACUCACAUUGCAGAGGUGGUCAAUAGAGGUUGCACGCUGUGAUCUAGCUGGACUGUCUUGUCAUGCAAUCUUUAUUUAAACAAAGGGUAGGUUAAAGGCACAGUGAGUCCCUUGAGGUCAGGGGCUAUGUCUUGCUUUCAAAGCACUUGGGACAGUUCUUGGCAUGUGAUAAACAUUUAAUAAAUGGGGCUAUCAAUGUGAUAGUUCACCACCAUGACCAAAACGUCUAGACAAGUACCUGGCUCUUUACAGCUCCUCAGCAAAUAUCUACUGAUUGAAUGAAUACUUCAAUACAUUUCUGAAUUUCAAAUGUCUUUGAUAUUCCUAAGUUUUCCUAGAGUUAUGAUUUUAAGGUAGUGAAAUGUACUCCACCGUGAAAAGACUUCUUAUAAAUCAAUGUUUGUCUACUACAAUAUCUUUCCUGUUUAAAUUUGAUUUAACUCUAGGGAAUUUGUAAGGGAAUGGUAACAGUCUGCAAUAAAGGUGAAACCCUAAUUCACUUUGAAUCAAUUGCUUGAAUGUUUAGGAAUAGUAACUGAUUAUUUUCCAGAAUCCUGGUUGAUGUGUUUUAUUACAGAUAUGCAUUGUACCCAGUUUCACACAAUCCAGUGACAUAAGUUUCAGCAAGAAUGAUGGAUUUCAAAGAAAACAUAUAUUCUACUUGCAGUAUUACCAACAUGACUAUUUUCAAUUGUGAAUCAAAUGUUUGAGUUGAGACA